GCGGGCUUAGCUCAGCUGGAUAGAGCGUUGGCCUCCGAAGCCAAAGGCCAGAAGUUCGAAUCUUCUAGUCCGCGCCA
RNAcentral lists this transfer RNA (77 nucleotides) under Deltaproteobacteria bacterium. Its description in RNAcentral is "tRNA-Arg". It matches the Rfam family "tRNA". From Rfam's summary of the family: Transfer RNA (tRNA) molecules are approximately 80 nucleotides in length. Their secondary structure includes four short double-helical elements and three loops (D, anti-codon, and T loops). Lineage: Bacteria; Pseudomonadati; Myxococcota; Myxococcia. The record is from RNAcentral.